Molecule: ribosomal RNA, 402 nt
Filed under: Aspergillus tamarii
Lineage: Eukaryota; Fungi; Ascomycota; Eurotiomycetes; Eurotiales; Aspergillaceae
Description: eukaryotic LSU rRNA
Rfam family: 5.8S ribosomal RNA (bases 79-232)
Source: RNAcentral
GGGCCCGCGCCCGCCGGAGACACCACGAACUCUGUCUGAUCUAGUGAAGUCUGAGUUGAUUGUAUCGCAAUCAGUUAAAACUUUCAACAAUGGAUCUCUUGGUUCCGGCAUCGAUGAAGAACGCAGCGAAAUGCGAUAACUAGUGUGAAUUGCAGAAUUCCGUGAAUCAUCGAGUCUUUGAACGCACAUUGCGCCCCCUGGUAUUCCGGGGGGCAUGCCUGUCCGAGCGUCAUUGCUGCCCAUCAAGCACGGCUUGUGUGUUGGGUCGUCGUCCCCUCUUCGGGGGGGACGGGCCCCAAAGGCAGCGGCGGCACCGCGUCCGAUCCUCGAGCGUAUGGGGCUUUGUCACCCGCUCUGUAGGCCCGGCCGGCGCUUGCCGAACGCAAAACAACCAUUCUUCCA